RNAcentral lists this ribosomal RNA (301 nucleotides) under uncultured bacterium. Its description in RNAcentral is "partial 16S ribosomal RNA". It matches the Rfam family "Bacterial small subunit ribosomal RNA", at positions 509 to 809 of the family's 1533-position model. The record is from RNAcentral.
CAGUAGCCGCGGGAAUACGAAGGUGGCUAGCGUUGCUCGGAAUUACUGGGCGUAAAGGGAGCGUAGGCGGACUUUUAAGUCAGGGGUGAAAUCCCGGGGCUCAACCCCGGAACUGCCUUUGAUACUGGAAGUCUUGAGUAUGGUAGAGGUGAGUGGAAUUCCGAGUGUAGAGGUGAAAUUCGUAGAUAUUCGGAGGAACACCAGUGGCGAAGGCGGCUCACUGGACCAUUACUGACGCUGAGGUGCGAAAGCGUGGGGAGCAAACAGGAUUAGAUACCCCAGUAGUCCCUGUCUCUUAUAA